AUAUUAUAAUCGCUGAGUUACGGCAUUUUGCCGUAAGCGGGGGAACCAUAAAUUGGGGUGAAUCCUGAAUAUUCAGGUAGGGUUAGUCUCGACCAAUCCGAAUCCGUCAGCUAACUUCGUAAGCGUUGGGGAGAAAGUGA
Molecule: small RNA, 140 nt
Filed under: Ruminiclostridium hungatei
Lineage: Bacteria; Bacillati; Bacillota; Clostridia; Eubacteriales; Oscillospiraceae
Description: Clostridium hungatei c-di-AMP sequence
Rfam family: c-di-AMP riboswitch aptamer (ydaO/yuaA leader)
About the family: This family represents a conserved RNA structure found upstream of the ydaO and yuaA genes in Bacillus subtilis and related genes in other bacteria. The ydaO/yuaA element is thought to act as a genetic "off" switch for the ydaO and yuaA genes in its native state.
Source: Rfam by way of RNAcentral